RNAcentral lists this ribosomal RNA (256 nucleotides) under uncultured bacterium. Its description in RNAcentral is "partial 16S ribosomal RNA". It matches the Rfam family "Bacterial small subunit ribosomal RNA", at positions 521 to 776 of the family's 1533-position model. The record is from RNAcentral.
UAAUACGUAGGUGGCAAGCGUUGUCCGGAUUUAUUGGGUUUAAAGGGUGCGUAGGCGGCCCUGUAAGUCAGUGGUGAAAUACUCCAGCUUAACUGGAGGGGUGCCAUUGAUACUGCAGGGCUUGAGUGGAGUAGAAGUAGGCGGAAUUGACGGUGUAGCGGUGAAAUGCUUAGAUAUCGUCAAGAACACCGAUAGUGAAGACAGCUUACUAUGCUUCAACUGACGCUGAGGCACGAAAGUGUGGGGAUCAAACAGG